AAAGUACUGAGGACUUUGCUAUCCAGCUUUCUUCACAACUGUCAACACAGCCUUAGGACUGACAGUCACUUCUACCUACUCUGUAACCUUGAACCCAGUCAUGUAUCUCAUAUCUUUCCAGGUUCUGAGCCAAUUGUCCACAGGACUCCAGGACCCAUGAAGAAAGAAGUUUCCCUCUUUCCAAAACUCAAAAGAAUGAGUAUAAGAUCAAGGAGAGAGCCUUGGCAGCUCAGAGUAAACUUCCCUUCCACCCAGAGCGGUUUUGUUUACUGAGCCUAAUUUUCAUUCUUCUGGUGCUGAAACCCCAGGAAUGGCAUAAAUGAGCACCCUUCCAAGGAACUUGGCUACCCCGAACCAAGAUGCUGAUCUGACUUUCCUAAGGUAUGAAUACAGAUCAAUUGUUUCUACUGUCUUUUGCCACCCACCAUAUUUGGCCUCAUUCCAAAUUUUGUCUUGGUCUCUCUAGCGGGUUAAGUGUCACCCUGGAGCAGCAUGCUUUGUUUACUAUUACUACAAAAGGCACACCAGAGUGCCAGGAAGCUCUUCCCCUGCCCGCCCCCCUCGCCUUGGGCUCACUCACAAGGACAAGGGACACCUCUCCUCUGUGUUUUGAAACAUUUCUCUUUGACAAAUUUCGCAUUCUGCUUGGAGACAUGCCAGAUGGAAAUUCUUGUCACAAUGACACUUUAUCCACCUCAGUUCAGCUAGUGUUCUCUCGCCUUCCUCUAGGAACUGCAAUUCUGCCUGGGCUCCCACUGCCUGUUCUGUUCUAUCUCUUCCUUUAAGCCCUCCUAGGUAGUUCCCUCCUCGAGCAGAGCUCUCCCCACAGGCAGCACAGCCUGCUUACUCCCGUUACAGAACAUUUGUUUACACUGUGAAGAUGUAUCUUUGCCAAGGCACCUCCUGAUUGGUUUAAAAAGGAGCUGAAUAUCCAAAAGCUAGGCUGGCAGUCCAAAGAUAGUUCAACAAGAAAACUUGCUAUAUAUGACGCCCAAUGUGGCCAUAUAUAUCCAAGAAAAGCCCGAAAAGGCUUUAAAAAAAAAAGUUAUCAAACAUGGCCUCCUGGCAACCACGGUAUCUUGGGUAGGCUCAGCAUGCAGAGGCACGGCUCUUCUAAGAGACCUGCUGUGCAGCAGAGUACCUGAGCAGUCAGCCCACUCAGUAAAGAUGCCCGCCACAUCAGCACAUUUCUAGAGCUGGGACAGUAACCAAGGCUCCCACUGACACAAGCUGACAUGAGGUCAGGUUCUCACAGAACUAAGGAGGGCAGAGCAAGGCCACCAGAGCUGCAGGUAGCAGCCUAGCCAUUUAAGGUUUGUCUCCCAGUCAGAGAAGGCUGCAGAUGCACAGUAAAAUGGUCCAGAGGCCACCCAGGUCCACAGGAUGAAUUCCAGGACAGCCAGGGCUGUUACACAUAGAAA
This is a non-coding RNA of Myodes glareolus (Bank vole), 1421 nucleotides long. The record is from RefSeq and is a predicted model, not a curated record. Lineage: Eukaryota; Metazoa; Chordata; Mammalia; Rodentia; Cricetidae.